CAGCGGGAGAGAAGCAAAGAGCAGGGGAAGGGGGCUGGACGCCACGUUCGGGUCUGGCGCUCCGGAAAGGCGGCUCAGCGCCGCCCCGCGCCCAGACUCCCGCCAUCAGGGGAAGAAAUGCGCUCUGCUCGCAGCUGGCGCCAGCCGCACGCGAGGGGAGUUGGGGCCGGAGAUGUAGCCCUCUCUCGGCGCGGGGCUAGAGACGUCUCCCUCCGCAACGAGCGGGACUUGCCUGCGCGGGGGAGACGGCCCAGCCGCACAGCUGCCGGGCUCCGGGUUUCCCAGCCGCCGCCCUCCUCCUUGCUUACGCUCCUCUCGAGUAACAAGGCUCCUACGAAGAUGCUGCCGGAGACGGGCCAGCGCGGCGCGGGGAGGACCCCCGGGCUCCUGCUCUGCCUGCAGCUGCUGCUCCUGCUGCCUUCCUCGGCUGUGCUGGGAGAGAACACAGAGCGACCUACAUUCUCAGCCACUGGUGGACUCCACUCUGUUAUGGAAGACACAGUGUCUCCAGCUUUCAGUGCCACUGUUAUCAUCAUUGUCACCGUCAUCAUCUCCGGGAGUGCCUACUUGUGUUUCUUGAAAUACAUCUGCACUGGUUGCUGUAAAUCCACACAGGUGGUACCUGACAGGAGACUAGACCCAAGCAGAUCGGAAGAGCAAGUGUAACCCUAUCAUCAUUCAAUGGUCAAUGGCCCAGCCUGGAAGAACAAGAUUUACAUCGAUGAGUCAGAGAAAUGGUCCAUUCCUAAAAUGAUACAUAUUGGGAGACACCCUAAAAAGGAGAAAUGCCCUUUCUAGGGGACUCAGUCAAGACAAAAGACUUGUGAAGCUUUCUAUCAAUAACCUGGUGAUAUACAUAUGACUUUCCUCUGCUGAAUAAUGCAUUAAUACUCAGAGGCUGGCUACAUUCUACAUUGGGUCAAAAUACAAUGAGCCAAGCUCCUGGGGCCACUGGCUAGAAGGCCAUUUUUGUUCCCUUAAGAGGUGUUCAGAAGCUGGAAUGGAAGUGCAUUGCUUCUUCCUGUCUGGUAUUCUAGUUUUUGAAAGCUCCCCCUAGAGACCUCCCUCUUUAACAGCCACUGCAGUGAGGAAAAAUGGGCCUUGAUGCAAAUGGCGAGCUUGAUCAGUGCCAUUAAUGGAUGAGUUGCUGCUAUAAGUUAUCCUUUUGAGUCCGUAGUGGUUGAGGUGAAUGCAACCUCAUUCCUGUUUGGAGUAAAGUGAACCCUGCUCAGUUAGGACCACAGAUCCCUUACAUGUGUCUAUCACAUUUUUAUCCUGUUCAGGGAUAAACUUAAUGGCUCUUCUUCCCCAGUUCUUAUGUCCACACAACAAUUCUGUGAGGUAGGCUAGGCUGCGAGAUGGUUGGUGCAAGGUCACCCACUGUCAGACAUGGUGGAAUGGCGAGUCGAACCUUGGUCUCCCUCGUCCAACACUUGCAUGCACUUCAUCACACUUGCUCUUUCUUUCCAUGCGUAACAUCUAGACGCCCUCUACAGUUGAGGUCCUCUCAUUGUGUCCUCACGACAACCCUGUGAGGUAGGCUAGACUGAGAGAGAGAGUGACUGAGGCAAGGUCACUCAGUGGGCUUCAUGACUGGAUGGGGAUUUGAACCUGGGUCCCCCUCAGCGACACAUACCACAGUGUCACUCUACCCCUCGAUUUUGGUAACUUACAGAGCUCAGGCCUGGAUAGCAUCGUUUGCAUGAAUUGAGAGACUGCAUAUGUUAGGGGUGUGCAUUUUGAAUGUUGUUUUGUUUUGUUUUCAGCCAAAUCUGAAGCCCCCCCCCCGAAUUUGGAUAUGGUCUGAAAUGAAGCCCCCUGAAACCCCAAAUUUUCAGUUCUGAAGCCAACUUGCCCCGAAACCAAAUUACAGGCUGCCAGUCUCCCCACUGCUUCCCUCACUCCCUUCCACCCCAGUCCAUUCCCCGUUCCCUGUUGUUCUGUUCUCCUUCCCCAGUCCAUUCUCCUGUCUGUUCUCUCCCCGGCACUGGCCUCCUUCCUUUCCUCCCUGCCAUUUUUGCCCGCCUGCCUCCUCUGCCAGGGCCCGCCACCGCCACCUCCUCACCCCGCCAUGCGCCCAACACCCAUGAUGGCUGUGUGUCACCCUUGAGAUAAUUGUGCCCGCUGCCGCCACCCACACCAAGGAGCUCUUGGGCCAGCAAGCCAAGCUCCCAGUCCCUGUCCCUGCCGCUCCGGAAACUCCCUGCCGCAUCUGGCCCUGCUUUCGCCUGCCAAUCUGCAGGCCUGAAUUGCAGGGAAUUCAAACCGACGUCAGAAGAACUGAAGGGAGACUCUUGAGAGACUGCUUGCAAUUGCAAAACAGGUCCACCCCGCCCCACCCAAAAAAACCCAAAGCUUCGUUUCCGAAAUGAGGUCAUUUUGAUUCGUCUACAAAAAUCUUCAUUGUGGCAUUUUUCAUUUUUCAGUAGUUGUACAAAAUGUCCAAAUGUGCCAUUUUCGGACACAAAACGUUUUGUAACCAAAACAAAAUGCACAUCCCUAGCAUAUGUUAAAUGCAUCGGGGGGUGGGGUGUAGCUAUAAUUGAACAAGGGCGGAGGGACAAAUGUCCCUGAGGAGGAGGGGGGAGAUUGCCUGGGUGACAGCCUGCUCUUUGCUCUCCAUCUCAUGAUGCUCUGAACGAACGAACGAACAACAAAUAUUUAUAUACCCCUUUUCAACAAAAGUUUCCAAAGCGGUUUACACAGUGGAAACAAUAAUAAAGUAAUCAGAUGGCUCCCUGUUCCCAAAGGGCUCACAAUCUAAAAAAAGAGACAUAAGAUAGACACCAGCAACAGCCACUGGAGGGAUGCUGUGCUGGGGUUGGAUAGGGCCAGGUGCUCUCCCCCUGAUAAACAGAAGAGUAUCGCCAGUGCCACCAGCCCCACAAAUGAAAAGGAAGGUGGGGCCAGAGCCCAUCUUCACAUUUUGUCCCAGGGCCCACUCAAGCCCCUGGAAUCUAGCUAUUUAGCUAUCUAUUUAUUUGAUUUCUAUACUUCCCUUCCCAAAGUGGCUCAGGGUGGUUUACAGUAAAAUAAAAAAUACAUAACAAUUAAAAUCAGAUUACAAUUACAAUCAGAAGCCAAUUAAAAACAGAUUGCAAUCACAGCUAAAAUGAAAUAUCAUUAAAAGCCAGGCAAAACGUUGGGUCUUUAAGGCUCUCCCGAAGGCCUCCAAGGAAGACAUUCCUCUGAUACGCACGGGGAGCAUGUUACACAACCUAGGGGCCAAGAACAGAGAAGCCCCUAUCCCAGGUCGCCACCAGAUGAAUCGGUGGCAUCCAAAGAUGGACCCUUCCCCCGCGAUGAUCUUAUUGAGUGGUGGGGAUCUUGUAGAGAAAGGCACACUCUCAGGUAACUGGGACCUAAGCCAUUCAAGGCUUUAAAAGUAAUAACUAGCACCUUGUACUUUGCCCAGAAACAUAUCGGCAGCCAUUACAACUGUUUAAGAAGAGGCUUAACAUGGCAUAUGUUAUACCGAUGUUAUAAUCAGCUUACUCCAGCAUUGAGGAUCACCAAGGAGCGAGCAGCUGACGUCAGAGAUUCAUGGAGCAAAGGCAGAAAAUAAAGAUAAAAUGAAGAAGCAACAAAAAGCAUCAAGCCUCAGAGGAGACCACAAAAAGCACAUUCAGUCAAAACCACCUCCAUCUUCCACUUGAAUGGCUUAGAGGGCGAACCAGAACUUACUACCCUGGACAGUAAGGUAUAAUACCUCCUAUUCAGGAGUGUGAAACAUGCUGGAUUGAGCUGGAGACCCGUUGGGGGCUCACAUACUGGACACAAGAACUGCUGCAGUCUGGUCAUGUGGUGGCACUCCUGAUUUAUCACCACAUUUCCCACCAAUUGUAGUUUCCAGAAACGUUUCAAGGGCAGCCCCAAGUAGAGCAUGUCAACGUAGUCUAAUAGGAAAGUGAGCCAGGCAUGUUUACUUGGGUGAGCUCUGUCCAGAACAGGCUGCAAUUGGUGCACCAGCAAAACCUGGACAAGGGAGCACCCCUGGCCACAGCCACUACCUGUCUCUCCAGGAGCAAAGCUGGGGUCCAGGAGCACUACCAAAUGGCACACCUGCUCUCCUAGGGGGGAUGCUGCUCCUCCAAGAACCGGCUGGACAUUUCUCCCCAGAUAUUUAUUUAUCAUAUUUAUAUACCACUCAAUGGACCAAAGUCCUUGAAGCUGUUUACAACAAGAACAUUUAAGAACGUCUAAAAUGAUAAAAGCAAAAAUCAGCAUGCAACUUUAAAACAAUUAAAACAGCCAGCAAGCCGAUACAGAGCCAGUAGAAGUCAAGAGAAGUGGCCAUUACAGAUAUAAAGGCUGCUGAAAAGGAAGGCUUUCGCGUGGCACCUAAAUAAUUACAAAGAAGUCACCAGGGCGCUUUCCAGAUUAGCUGCUCAACAGCAGCAAAAUGCUUUAGUUCAGGCAAAACACAUUUGAAAUGUAAACAGCAGGGGGAGCAGUCUCACGGAAACUAACGACCCGAAAAAGCAGCAACCUUUUUACGCCGGAUACACGACGUCAUAGCCUUAUAUUGCAGUGAUUAAAUUCGAAACAAAGCAUCGGAAAUUUGAACAGCACCCUGCUGUCAGCAACUGCGGUGUCACAACACAGGAAGUGUGGAAGCAGACUUCCGAGAUCAGCUGUGACCCCGUUGCAGGGUGUAAUCUGGAAAGCGCCCAGGGAAGGUGACCCAAAGAUGAGGCGCCACCACUAAGAAGGCUCUCUCUCCAGUAGCCACCCAUCGCAUCAUUGUGGGUGGCGACACCCAGAGGCAAGCUUCUGAAGAUGAGCUUAAAAAAUGGGCAGGAACAUGUUGGAGAAGGCGUUCCAUCAGCUAGACUGGUCCUAAGCUGUUUAAUGCUUUCGAGAUCAGCACCAGAAGCAGACUGGCAACCAGUGCUAUUGAUGUAGCCCUGGUAUAAUACCGAUAGCUUCAAACCAGCCAGUCCCAAGAAGCAGCCUAGCGUGACUUUCCCUCUUGUUCAGUUUGUUUGCCCAAAGCAUCUUUCUCAGGGGCCAUUUCAAAACUUCAGUAACUUCCCUGAAAUCAGGAAGAGACAGAGUUGGGUGCUGACUACAUACUGAUCACAUUGCAUCCCUAAACUCUCUGUACAUCCCCCAAUUCUACUAGUUGGGGUGAGGCCAUAGCUCAGUGGUGGAGCAUCUGCUUUGCUUGCAGAAAGUCCCAGGUUCAAUCCCUGGCAGCAUCUCCAGGAGGGCGUAGGAAGGACUCCUGCCUGAAGCCAUGAAGAACUGCUGCCAGUCAGUGUAGAUAAUACUGAGCCAGGUAGCCCAGUGGUCUGACUUGAUAUAAAGACAGCUUCCUGUAUAAUCUUCCUGUGUAGUGGUUUCAUGGAGGCCUGCAGAGAUGAUGCUUUCUUGGAAGCCAGAGAUAAGACCUAAAUGUCUGGAAGAGAGUUUGAUCCUGGUUUUGCGAGAUGUUGAAAAGUAGGAGUUUGACAAAAGCCAGACUCUGUUCAGAUUCUGCUGUAGUCUCGGACCAACCUUCAUUUCUAUGUUUGGAUUGCUACUGACUGUGAUACUUGUUACAUUCCUGCCACUCCUUGUCAAUCUGUACAUUUGUAAAUAAACAUAUUUUCACAGACCAUUGCUCCCUCUUUCUCCUUUCAUGAGGGAUUUGGGCUUGCAAAGCUUGUCUGAAUUCUUAAGCAGUGCUUAAGAAAUAUACCACUGCUAAUGGGUUGCUGGGAUUCCAUGCUCAAAGCCUGUAACAAGUUCUAUAUGUACAAUAGUAAAACCUAUUAAUAGUGAAAUAGUGAAACAAGCAACGCAACAGAAGAAGCUGCCAUUUUUCACACAUGUAGCCCCAGUUUGCUCCUAAUACCUGAAAACUGAACAUUUUGGUAUCUGUCAAAACUCAAGAUGAUGGAUGCUUGCUUUGUAACAGAGGUAGUAAAAAUAGUAGAGCAGGUCUGCUCAACUUUGCACCACCACCACCCCGCUGUUUUUGGACUACAACUCCCAUAAUCCCCAGCCACAGUGGCCAAUAGCCAGGGAUUGUGGGAGUUGUAGGCCAACAUCUGCAGGAGGGCCGAAGUUGAGCGGUCCUGCUGUAGAGCCUGGCUAGAUGUGACACUCAUUGUGGAAGACCGGGUUCUGACUCUUGAGAAUUCUUCAGGCUUCCCCAGAGACAAACAAGAAAUGUUGGAGCGGAUGGUACAGCUAUCAGCCAUCUCUCUCUAUCCACUGUUUAUUCAUGCUUAUUUCUCCCUUAGUUGCUAAUAGGCCUGUGCAAAGUUGGAUUGGCAGUGUCAGGAUUGAUCCAACGUUGUUGCAACAUCAAUUUAAAAAGUGACCCAUAUUCUGAUCCAAUACCAGGUCCCCGUUUUGGCUCGGAAUUGCCAAAAUUCAUGUUGGAAUAUUGCAAUUCAUAUUGAAACCCGACUUAACAUUGGAUUGUUCCCCAUAGAGCCCAAUGGGGAAAUGUAAAGAAAUUCAGGAAAAAUAAAAGGGCUGGGCCUAGGACUUUGAAAUUUGGCACAGGAGAGGUACAGAUCGGCAGGACUCUGUGUAGAGAAUUUGAAGUGAAGCAGACAAUCUUGCAAUUUUUAGUGAUUUUUUUAAAAAUGAGGUUUUAUUGCGCAAGAGCACCAUUUGGUGAGAUUAGUUCAAAACCCCAUGCACCAGUUCAGCGUGAGAGUAGCCUAACAGAACUUCCCAACUAACUGCACCUGCGCAGCUGGGAAGAGAUAAUUUUUGAUGCCCUCCCCUUCCCCAAGAAGCCUUCUGAACCACCCAAAAAUGUGUCCCCGAGGGUUGCACAACCUUCACUGACAUAUUUUCAGGUGGUUUGGAGGGCUUCCUGGGGAAGGGGAGGGUGCCAAAAACUGCCACUUCCUUGCUGCACCAGUUGGGGAACUCUGUUAGGCUGGACAUGCCUGUAGGCUUCCAGUGGCAUCUGGUGAGCCACUGUGAAACAGGAUGCUGGACUAGAUGGGCCUCCUUGGGCGUGACCCAGCAGGAUUGUUCUUACAUUCUUAUGCUCUCUCACUGCACUGGUGCUUCCUUCUUCUGAAUGUCAGCCAUCGAGAUAAUUUCCAAAGUGAGCCUCCUCUGCUUCAAAAACAAACUUUCCGCCUUCACCGUAAAACCUUUGAAAUCCUGCUAAAGUCUUGGUUAUAUAGUAAUAACUCUCUCGCACACACAAAAGAGUAACUGCACACUGGGCCAAAGCUCAUUAGCUUUCAGCAGUUUUUCAAAUGCAGCCUCCAAGUUUACCUUCCCACCUCUUGUCUUGGAAUUGCAUAAAUGGGUCCCUUUGCUUCUAAAGAGGCCUGCUAGUGACAUUCACUUGGUGUUUGGCUCUUUCCCCAGGCUAUAAUUAUUUUCAUCAGCAGGUUAGGCUCCAUCCGUCUCUCUUAUUCAGAUCUAUCUAUGCGCAAUUAAUUCUUGCCUCCUUUGUGUGAUCAAACCACCCACCCCUUUUAAAACAGCAAUUUGCACCAUUGAACCGACAUGCUUAUUUUCUGUAGACACUUUGCUAGUUGAGUUUGUUCAGCGGGAGUUAAGUCGACCUUUGUAACCAUCCAAGAAGCUGCCUGCCUCAAAAGUGUCUCUCAAGGUUCUCCCCUUUUUUGAAAUGGACCAGGAGGUCAACCUUUCCAGCAGCCACUGCAGUUUGGGAUAAUGGAAGCUGUAAUCCAAAAACAGCCAGAAAGCCUCAGGUUGGCCACCUCAAAAUAGGUCAUCGAAAUAAAUUACGGUGUCGUCAGGUUUUCCAUCGGCUGUCCACUGCCCAGGAGGUUGAGGUGGCCUCAAAGUUUUCAGCUGGAGGAGUGUUUAUAGUUUAUGGUCAGGGCUUGUCCUAUUCACCAGUCCUGUCCUGGCGUUGCCGCUCAUCAGUGGCCAGUCCUCCCUUAAAUGUCCCCUGACAGCCCGGGCAGGUCUCACGAGAUCUCAUCAUUGAACGAGAUCUUGCAGAGAGAUCUGACAGAGCCUCUCUCAGGCCUGCGAAACGGCGCCGUUUAAUGGUGAGGCAGCAACUCCCUGCCGGGGCCAGUGUAAACGCCUCCAGGUGGGCGUUUUGUUGUCUCUUCCCCCCUGUUAGGCUCGUCCCCUCAAGACCCGGGCAGGGGAAGCUUCAUUAUGGAGCUUGCUGCAUUUCCCCACGGCAAUCAGCUCCACCUCAGGGGUUCUCCGUCAGGGGUAUAUGGAUAUUCAAGUGCAAUCGAUCUAUAUCUAAUUUCUUUUCCUGAACAUUUUGUUUUUACCAUUUUCAGUACAAUGCCAGACACACAAAAUAAAGAACCUUGGUUUACAUUGUGCACAGAGAUCCAUGAGUCCAAGGGCACAGCGCUUCUGUGCCACCGUGCUACAGUCCACUCAUGCACCUUUGGAAGGCAGGGGUGGAAAGCCGGUCUUGCAGUAGCAAUCAUGAAUUCUCCCCUUUGUUAAGCAGGGGUUGCCUUGGUUUGUAUUUGGAUGGGAGAUCACACGUGAACACUUUCUGAUGUAAGAUAUUCCCAUUAGGGCAGUGAUCUUUACUGUUUUUACAGCCAGGGCCACUUUGGCAAAGCAAAAAACAAUAUGAGUGCCAUUUCCCACUGUGUUGACCUCUGCAUGGUACUGCACUUUUCUCAGUGUGGGGAGGGCCCAUAAAGAGAGACAGAGCCCAAUCUUAAGAGCCCUAGAAGGAAAGCACUGGGAAGGGCUAAACGUCUAGACCUCUGUGCGCACCUCCCAAGGUGGUGCAGGGGCUCAAGGUGGCUUCAUUUCCCUCAAAGGAGAACCUCUCCCCACCAGCACUGCAUGUUGAGAACGGUCACCUCUGCAUGGUGCCAGGGGGACUGUGCAGAGUAUUCAGCUUCGGCUGAAGCUUCACACAGGCCCAAUAAACCAUUGUUCAAGGAGCCACUCUUAGAACUGAUGGUGGCCACCACUGGCCCCAAGGCCUUACAAUGAAGAAGACUGCCUUAAGGGAUAGGAACAUAGGAAGCUGCCAUAUAUGGAGUCAGACCAUUGGUCUAUCUAGUUCAGUAUUGUCUUCACAGACUGGCAGCAGCUUCUCCAAGGUUGCAGGCAGGAAUCUCUCUCAGCCCUAUCUUGGAGAAGCCAGGGAGGGAACUUGAAACCUUCUGCUCUUCCCAGAGCGGCUCCAUCCCCUUGAGGGGAAUAUCUUACAGUGCUGGCACAUCAAGUCUCCCAUCCAUAUGGAACCAGGGCAGACCCUGCUUAGCUAAGGGGACAAGUCAUGCUUGCUACCACAAGACCAGCUCUCCUCCCUAGGAUGAUGGUGUAUGGGCUAUAUAAGUUGAAUAUAGAAGUUAACUGCUUGACAUAAGUUUCACCAUAUUGUUUGAGUUUGUAAUAGGAAUUUGCUUACGCUGAAACAAUGCUCACCCCUGGUUUCCCACAGUUAGCAGAAUUCAUAUUUAGCAUGGGAACCGCAAGUGCUGAGGGAGCAAGAUAAAGACCAGACUGGCCUACUGCUUGCACAACUAAUUUAUGACCUAAUGCCAGACCCAUUUCCAGACGAAAGGGGAACUAACUAUGAGUUAUGACCUAUGACAUAUAACUGUUUCUUUUUCUGUAACUAUCUGUGACCGUUUUCUUAAGAAUGCUUUGGUGUAUAAAUGUGCUGCUUCUGUAUUAGGUCUUUGUCCUGCUUUGAGUGCGAGCCGAGCAGCACCUUUGCUACUUAAGGGCAAAUAAAACUUUGAUCUUAA
This is a long non-coding RNA of Hemicordylus capensis (graceful crag lizard), 9680 nucleotides long. RefSeq lists it as uncharacterized. The transcript is spliced from 2 exons. The record is from RefSeq and is a predicted model, not a curated record. Lineage: Eukaryota; Metazoa; Chordata; Lepidosauria; Squamata; Cordylidae.